GUCCUUAUCCAGGACUGGAUAGAAUGAAAUGAUCAUAAGUUCCAGACAGUUGAGCUGAAGAUUUCCAACGGUUUCCAUCAGGAGCCAUUCUAGCAGCUUUAUUUUCUUUCUCUGAAACCAAUUGAGAGUUUCCUUGGCUGUGUGUUUGGGAUCAUUGUCUUGCUGAAAUGUCCGCCCUCGUUUCAUCUUCAUCAUCCUGGUAGAUGGCAGCAGAUUUUUAUCAAGAAUGUCUCGGUACAUUUUUCCAUUCAUCCUUCCUUCAAUUAAAUGAAGUUUGCCAGUGCCGUAUGCUGAAACCCAGCCCCACACCAUGAUGUUCCCACCUCCACACUUCACUGUCGGUCUGGUGUUUGUGGGCUGAUGUGCAGUGCCAUUCGACCUCCAAACAUGAAGAGAAGCAUCUUAUCACCUGAACAGUGAAGCAGAGCGAAGAGUGAGAGAGCAGAGUGAAGCAAACACACCACAGGGCAGUGAUGUGUGUGUGGAAAACAACUGACCAUCAGUCUGCUGGCCUGAUAUUACUCCUGAUUCCUGCUGCCUGCGGACUGACUGCAGCAGUUUGGUGAAAUUACACAACAUUUGAAGAGAUGACUGGGAUUAUGUGUGAAUAGUUCAGCCAACAACAACAACAACAUGGCUGUGUGUGAGAACUAUAAUCUGGUUUACUCACGAUCAGAGGUAACGCCUCCACCAGCUGGAGAGUGAAUUCCAGGAAAAGGGAAAGUUGAUCAAUAUCUGUUGGUCAUCCCAGCCUGAGCAUUUCAUUUAUAUACAGGCAUCCUUCACUAUCUGCUAGUGCAAAAUUACAGAUCGCCUUAGCUUGUAAAUAAUUAAAUAAGAUGGAGAUGUCUUUUACAGGAUGUUCACCUCUUGUGAUGUGAGUAAAUACCGCAGCCUGACUUCUUACAAAAACUCAAAAGUAUGAACACAUCACCACCAUUCUCGCCUCAUUGCACUGGCUACCUGUCACGCUCAGAAUUGAUUUUAAAAUUGUAUUGCUAGUUUUUAAAUCUCUUAUAACACUGACCUUCUAAUACCGUACACACCUGCUCGUAAUCUCAGACCAGCAGAUCAACUGUUGCUUUUGGCUCCCAUGUAAGGCGAGAAACUGAGGGCAGUAGCUUUUUCUGUAAGGGCUCCACGACUAUGGAAUAACCUUCCACUGGAAAUCAGACCAGCUACCUCAUUGUCCUCUUUUAGAUCUCCUUUAAAGAUACAUUUUUAUAAUAUGGCUUUUACCUAGAUUUCUUAAGUCUUUUUGUAUGUCAUUUUUCUGAUUCUAUGUUUGUGAAACACUUUUUAAACUUGUUUUUGAAAAUACUAUAUAAAAAAGUUAUAUUAAUUAUUUUUAGUAGUUAUUUUUUGCUGCCUGGAUGAAAUCUCACUCCAACCUGAGCACAAGAGUUGACAGUAUUCUUUCUAUUUUUAAGGCUGAGCCCAGACAUCUGUCGAAGAAAACUGUAGUCUCAUAAAUCAGUCAUACACACAGUAAUAUCCAACUUCCUUCUCGGCACAUGUCUCUACAGUGUUCAUACAUGCUAAAUAAGUCACGUGUCAUUCAAAAAGUAUUGCUGGCAAAAAGAAGUACGACAAAAGUGCUCUUGGUUUUCCAACUUGCUGAACUGGAAUGCGAUCGAUUCGGGUGUGAUGUCAUGUGACUUCUAAGGUAAAUGGAACUCAUAGCUUCAUCGAGCUGCUACAUAAUGGUACCCGUCUUGUUCAAAAAAGGCACGAUGUUAGGUUUAAAUACAGAUUUCUAACCUGACCUACUUUUCAAAGUGUGACAGUGUUGGAGGGAAAAACUUUGCCUUUUGUAUAAAUGUCAGCUCACAGCUGCUGGACAGAGAGCGGCAGGUUUAAUAUUUCAGUUUGACUAAAAAAUGAGUUCAUGUGACAGUCAGCCACUCACACUGGAGUCGGAACCUACUCCUGGCACGACCUGCCACGCUCUCCACUGACUUUAUUGCUUGAUCAGUGUAAUGGGGAUAAACUCUGACUUCACAUGGUAAUUAUAUGUCAAUAUAAUUUCUCUCAGCACACAGUGAUUCACUGCUGUAUGAUUAUUAAACUGGGAACAAGCUCCUCUUGUAUAGAUUUGACUGAGACUGAUUGUUUCAUAAAUGCUAAAGCACAGCAUACAAUAAAAAGAGCAGCCCAGAAUUGAGAGAUUGUGAGAUAGUAGCUUAAGGGUCACCAAAGAAGGUAGGCAGGCAGAUCAGCAGACUUCUUGUUGUUUCAAAGGUGAAUAGUUUUAUUUACAGUAUUCUCCUAAACUCCAAAUAACAAUUAAACUAUUCUCAACAAAAAAUGCACACGCUGGUGGCAACACAGCUUCUCCUGUCCUCUUCCUGGAACAACACUAUUCAGCUUCUUAAACAGGGUUUUCGAUUCAAAGCUUCAGCCUGACCAAUAACCAGCAGAUCACUAGACACAGUAUUCUUCCUGUAAACACAAACGUUUAACCUUAUUUUUCCACUAUAGAAGCCCAUUCACAUCACUAAAUGGCUCUUUAAAAGUAAAUAGAUAAAUAGAGGUGCCCUCUUUAAGGCUGCCCUGUAUUGUGGGCUCGAACCGUUUGAACAAAGGAACAAACACUGAAAUAAUAUUUUAACCUGACACAUAAUAAAAGGUAACUAAAACUAACUUAUAGUUGUGUGUUUGCUUUAGUGAACUCACAGUUCAAUGUGAACUGUAACGUGUUGCCCACACAAACAAACCUGAGUAAGUGAUGCAAUGUUGCAAAAUGGUAAAUGAUAGUGUAAUGAACUUAUGGAGAAACUCAUGAGUGCACUGUGUAAGGUGGUUAAAAGAUGCCAGGGACAAAUAGUGAGUAAAAAGGAGAUCUCACCCACUUUGUCACAGAAUAUGUUAUGAAUUAUGCUGUGUGAGUGUUUGGAAAAAGUCUUGAGUAAAAUCUACUUUGAGAAAUCUAGAAAGCUACAGCUCCACACCUCUUUCCAUAUUAUUGUUCACAGUUCUCCAGUCCACCUGCAGUCAUUUUCUCAAUAAUUGAUUCUGUUGAAAUGCAUGAUUAAACAAUGGUAGCCUCAUUUAUGAUGGUGCAAGUAUGCAGUGAUUAAGGUCUAAUCAUAAUUGUUCUGCCUUCUGUUUAUCAUUGCACUCUUGCAUAUAGACAAGUAAUUAAUCGACUGUUCAGCACAUGUCUAAUCAGUCUUUGAUUAUAAGUGACAGGCCAACUCAGUGUGUUUCACACAAUGUACAUAUAAGAGUAUUACAAGCGAGUGCUGCACUGCUGUGACCCUCCGUCCCCAUGUAAUCAGUGCUUCUGCUGGUGUGUUCACAACCAACACACCAGGGUUUUAAUAGCUCAGGAAGCUAAUACUGAGACACUGUGCCUCAAUAAACAAUCACCUCAGCCUAUCAGCGUGCUUAUACCUUCCAAUUAUCCAAAUGUUGCACUGCAGAUUCUCAUAUUGCUUCUUAGAACUCUUGAGAGAAAUUUACAUUUUUAUUAAAUUUCCAUCUUUUUUUUUUUCCACUACAGCACCUGUGAUCUGCCUCCCUCACCUCUCAUUGGUCUGUGCCCCGCAGCUUCAGGUGGUACAGAGUGCUGCAGAAACCUCACGCAGAGUCACUCAGUGGGUACAUCUGCCUUUGAUGUAGACGAGAGAGGCUGCACUUUAAAUAUUUUAUAAAAUACAGACAAUCCGUGUUGUAUUUGUUGCUAUGAACCUUCAAUGAGACACACAUAAACCUACACAACAAACACUUUUCAUGUAAGAGAGCAUAAUGCGUAUUUUUCACCUACUUCCUCUGUAGGCUACAUAUAUUCUAAUUUCAACUCGUAGGGGUUUCAUUAACGUCCCUUCCUCCCAAACAUGAUUCAGUUGAAUUACCGCCUCUCAGCACGAUUUCAGAAAUACUGAACAUGGAUUUUCACUUUGCAGUGUACCAGCUCUUCCUCUUGCUUCUUGAUCCCCUUUUUUUUCCCUCUUACUCUCAGUCACCUCAUCUGUUAACUCUCUCGCAAAUCCUUAGAUUUUUGCUUGUGUUGGGCUACAUCCGCACUAAUACGUUUUAGUUUGAAAAGCGAAUCACUUUUGCUACAUUAACAUCUCUGAGCCCCUAAAAAUGGAGAACUAUUGAAACGUUGUUGGCCCCGUUUUACUUUUGAAACUCCGUAGCUGCUUUUAGUUUGGUUGAGUGCUUUGUUUGUUUUGUUUUUUUGCGUUGCUUCAGCUCAUCCAGUCUAAAACUGUCCAUCUAUAAAUCUUUCUACUGUAUUAUUUUGUAAAUUUGUUGAGAGAAACUACUGAAUGAGGAGUUAAAUUCCUUGUAUGUGUUCACACUGAAGGCAAAGUUUUAGCCAUGACAGUAGACGAUGCUUCAAAUAUGGAUGUUGCUGUGAAGAACCUAAACAUUCUAAAAUAUGGACGCUUGACACACACCUUCAACACAGCAGUUUCAGUUUCAAGGUUAGCAGCCAACAUUUGUUUCCCCCAUUAUCUAUCUAAGAGUCCGGUCACACAGAAUAUUUCAGAGGUGAAACUUCUCCUUCCAACCUGUGAGAGUUCAACUUGGGUGAACUUUAACCCACGAUAUUCGUUUUUUAUUGGCGUGUCUGUGACUGGGCCCUAAAUAUGAACUAUGGUCACAAUCUCACCUCCGGUUCCUGAGCUAUUGUGUUGAGUAAUAGACAUAAAUGUGUUUUUGCAGAACAUUAUGAUGUCUAAGGGAACAUGACCUUUGACCUUUUGGAUAUGAAAUGUCAUCACUUCAUAAUUUUGUGGGAAUAUUUUAAUUUUGUAAUGUGUGGGAAUUUCUGUCAUAAUUAGCAUGUAAUUUCUAGAGUUAUGGCUAAAAUGUGAUUUGUGAGAUCAGAGUGACCUUAACCUUUGACCUUCGUCCACUAAAAUCAGCGGAUUUCUGAGUCCAAGUGGACGUUUGUGCCAAGUUUGAAGAAAUUCACUUGAAUUUGAGACGUUCCUGAGAUAUUGUGUUCACGACAAUGGGAUGAAUGGGCCAGAGGGAUAAAAAAAAAAAAAAGAAGAGGUAAGCGCAAAUGACAUUUCCUUGACAG
Molecule: long non-coding RNA, 5041 nt
Organism: Hippoglossus stenolepis (Pacific halibut)
Lineage: Eukaryota; Metazoa; Chordata; Actinopteri; Pleuronectiformes; Pleuronectidae
Exons: 3
Source: RefSeq, a predicted model, not a curated record